Molecule: ribosomal RNA, 459 nt
Filed under: uncultured bacterium
Lineage: Bacteria
Description: partial 16S ribosomal RNA
Rfam family: Bacterial small subunit ribosomal RNA
Source: RNAcentral
CCUACGGGAGGCAGCAGUGAGGAAUAUUGGUCAAUGGGCGGAAGCCUGAACCAGCCAAGUCGCGUGAGGGAUGACUGCCCUACGGGUUGUAAACUUCUUUUAUAAAGGAAUAAAAAAUGGCACGUGUGGCUUGAUGCAUGUACUUUAUGAAUAAGCAUCGGCUAACUCCGUACCAGAAGCCGCGGUAAUACGGAGGAUGCGAGCGUUAUCCGGAUUUAUGGGGUUUAAAGGGUGCGUAGAGGGGUUGUUAAGUUAGUUGUAAAACGUGGGGGCUACACCUAGAAUUGCCAUGGAUACUGUGAGACGCGAGUGCAGACGAGGAAGGCGGAAUGAGUUGAGUAGCGGGGAAAUGCUUAGAUAUAACUUAGAACUCCGAUGGCGAAGGCGGCUUACCGGUCUGCAACUGACGCUGAGGCUCGAGAGCGUGGGUAGCAAACAGGAUUAGAUACCCGAGUAGUC